RNAcentral lists this ribosomal RNA (791 nucleotides) under uncultured Rhodospirillales bacterium. RNAcentral's name for it is "bacterial SSU rRNA". It matches the Rfam family "Bacterial small subunit ribosomal RNA", at positions 70 to 891 of the family's 1533-position model. Lineage: Bacteria; Pseudomonadati; Pseudomonadota; Alphaproteobacteria; Rhodospirillales. The record is from RNAcentral.
UUACCGGGCUUCGGUUCGGUGGGAGUGGCGCACGGGUGAGUAGCGCGUGGGAACCUGCCCUGUUGUGGGGGAUAACCGAGGGAAACUUCGGCUAAUACCGCAUGCGCCCGGAGUGAUCCGGGGAAAGAUUUAUCGCAGCAGGAGGGGCCCGCGUCGGAUUAGCUAGUUGGUGGGGUAACGGCCCACCAAGGCGAUGAUCCGUAGCUGGUCUGAGAGGAUGAUCAGCCACACUGGGACUGAGACACGGCCCAGACUCCUACGGGAGGCAGCAGUGGGGAAUAUUGGACAAUGGGCGCAAGCCUGAUCCAGCAAUGCCGCGUGAGUGAUGAAGGCCUUAGAGUUGUAAAGCUCUUUCGCCCGCGACGAUGAUGACGGUAGCGGGAGAAGAAGCCCCGGCUAACUUCGUGCCAGCAGCCGCGGUAAUACGAAGGGGGCGAGCGUUGUUCGGAUUUACUGGGCGUAAAGGGCGCGUAGGCGGCCGAUCAAGUCAGGCGUGAAAGCCCCGGGCUCAACCUGGGAGGUGCGCUUGGGACUGGUUGGCUUGAGUUCGGGAGAGGAGAGUGGAAUUCCCAGUGUAGAGGUGAAAUUCGUAGAUAUUGGGAAGAACACCGGUGGCGAAGGCGGCUCUCUGGACCGAGACUGACGCUGAGGCGCGAAAGCGUGGGGAGCAAACAGGAUUAGAUACCCUGGUAGUCCACGCUGUAAACGAUGUGUGCUAGACGUUGGGGAGCCUAGCUCUUCGGUGUCGCAGCAAACGCUUUAAGCACACCGCCUGGGGAGUACGGCCGCAA